Molecule: ribosomal RNA, 472 nt
Filed under: uncultured bacterium
Lineage: Bacteria
Description: partial 16S ribosomal RNA
Rfam family: Bacterial small subunit ribosomal RNA
Source: RNAcentral
GACGAACGCUGGCGGCGUGCCUAAUGCAUGCGAGUCGAGCGACGCACAUCGGAGGGGUCACCCACCGAUAUGACGGAGCGGCGAACGGGUGAGUAACACGUGAGCAACCUGCCCCACAGAUCGGGAUAGCCCAGGGAAACCUGGAUUAAUACCGAAUACCCUCGAGUAACCACAUGAUUGUUCGAGGAAAUGCCUUUGUGCUGUGGGAUGGGCUCGCGGCUUAUCAGCUAGUUGGUGGGGUAACGGCCUACCAAGGCAUCGACGAGUAGCUGGUCUGAGAGGACGAUCAGCCACACUGGGACUGAGACACGGCCCAGACUCCUACGGGAGGCAGCAGCAGGGAAUCUUGCGCAAUGGGCGAAAGCCUGACGCAGCAACGCCGCGUGGGGGAUGAAGGCCUUCGGGUUGUAAACCCCUUUCAGGAGGGAAGAAAUUGACGGUACCUCCAAAAGAAGCCCCGGCUAACUACGUG